Molecule: long non-coding RNA, 1108 nt
Filed under: Neodiprion pinetum (white pine sawfly)
Lineage: Eukaryota; Metazoa; Arthropoda; Insecta; Hymenoptera; Diprionidae
Description: uncharacterized LOC124222805
Source: RNAcentral
AAGGGGCGCGACCAAUCAGUGAAUUGAUUGAAGAAAUCACAUUCCACCUCCAUCUAACACAUCACCGUUCGGUACAACUUAACCUUACCUCUUAGUGUCAAAGAAAUAUACGGUACUUUACGAAAAAUGUUGUUAUACUUAAUUUUGGCACUGUUUGCAAAUAUUAAUUUUGUGUCCGCCUCAAAUGGAUUUGAUUUUGGCGACACGUUAGCUCUUAUUUUGGGGCUAUUCAUCAGCAUAAUGGGAUUUUUCGCCUGUAUGGGUGCUUAUGCACGUAAAAAAAGUCUCGACACUCUUUAGAUCUACUCAAGAUGAAAAUGCGUAAUUAUUUGUCUGGAGAUGCGCUAAUUAAAUUAACCUGAAUCGGCUAAUGCGAUGUCGGUAAAAUGAUAUAUAAAUUUCGUGAACGCGGCUAUUGUGUUAUAAUCUGGGAUAACUUAUUCUGAAACUUUUUAAACUGAUCGCGUGUACGUUUCAUGACCGUUUCUUGCAAGAAAAAUUAUGAAAAGUAUGAACCGAUUAAGUUCUGAGAAUUUUAGUUAGAACGUUUUGUAAAAAUUUAUAUAUUGUAACAUUCUUACAUUUCUUACUGAUUUUGAUUGCAUCAGCCCAAUUUAACUACCACAAUAGGAAUAAGAUAACUUGAUAUAUAGAUGAAUAACACAAAAGAAGUGUGUAAAUAUAUAUUGCUUAAGGAAAUAAAAAUUAAACUUUGUAUAUUGUGAAAAGAAAUAAAUAUAAAUCUAAAUGUACACAUACACGUUGAAAAAACACCUUUCAAUAUUUUCUCUACUGUGAUCUCAAAAUUUAUUUAUUCAAUUAUUAUUCACGCUGCAGUUAUGACUGUUUCGAUUUCACAUUUUUUUAGCAGAGAUACUUUUUAUUAUAGCAUACUUGUAAAAGUACACCUGUUACAACAGUACAAUGUUAUAAUGUAACUCGAGCCCUUGUUUAAAUCCAUUUUACAAUAAUUCGUAGUCUAAGGACUUGUAAUCUGUGGUAGUAGACAGGGCAUAAAGAUAAAAUACAAGAAGUACUUCAUAGUAAACAAGAACUAUGAUUUGAGAAACUGACUUGACUGUAUGUUCAAAAACAAGUUACCUAAACC